AGUCUGGUGCCAGCAGCCGCGGUAAUUCCAGCUCCAAUAGCGUAUAUUAACGUUGUUGCAGUUAAAAAGCUCGUAGUUGAAGUGAGGGAGUGUGUGUUCAUGAGAGCUAGUCUCGAGUGUUCACAACCUCCCCCCUCCAAUCGGUGUAGUGGGGUAUUCAGUUAUUUCACUACUCCUUUGGUCGUUUACUGUGAGAAAAUUAGAGUGUUCAAAGCGGGCGUUUGUUUGAAUAGAUUAGCAUGGAAUAAUGAUUGAAGGCUUUCGUGUUCGAUUUGAUUGGUUUGUUCAUGGAAGCAAGGUUAAAAGGAACAGUUGGGGGUAUUCAUAUUCACUAGUUAGAGGUGAAAUUCUCGGAUUUAUGGAAGAUGAACAGGUGCGAAAGCAUUUACCAAGGAUGUUCUCAUUAAUCAAGAACGAAAGCUAGGGGACCGAAGAGGAUUAGAUACCCUCGUAGUCUUAGCUAUAAACGAUACCGACUAGGGGUUAGUAGAGGUCAAUGUGUCUCUAUUAGUACCUUAUGAGAAAUCAAAGUCUUUGGGUUCCGGGGGGAGUAUGGUCGCAAGGCUGAAACUUAAAGGAAUUGACGGAAGGGCACCACCAGGAGUGGAGCCUGCGGCUUAAUUUGACACAACACGGGGAAACUUACCAGGUCCAGACAUAGGAAGGAUUGACAGAUUGAUAGCUCUUUCUUGAUUCUAUGGGUGGUGGUGCAUGGCCGUUCUUAGUUGGUGGGGUGAUUUGUCUGGCUAAUUCCGAUAACGAACGAGACCUCCGCCUUUAACUAGUGUUGGCUAUUGUGAUAGCUGAUACUUCUUGGAGGGACACUAUACGUAAAGUGUAGGGAAGCUGGAGGCAAUAACAGGUCUGUGAUGCCCUUAGAUGUUCUGGGCUGCACGCGCGCGACACUGAUCUAUUCAACGAGUGGCUGUGUCGAUAGACUUGGCAAAUCUUGUGAAAGUAGAUCGUGAUGGGGAUUGAUGCUUGUAAUUGUUCAUCAUGAACGAGGAAUUCCUAGUAAACGCAAGUCAUCAACUUGCAUUGAUUACGUCCCUGCCCUUUGUACACACCGCCCGUCGCACCUACCGAUUGAAUGGUCCGGUGAACACUUUGGAUUUUAGGCGAAUGAACUGUAAAAGGGGAGUUCGUUUGGGAGAAGUCGUGUAAAUCUUAUCAU
RNAcentral lists this ribosomal RNA (1174 nucleotides) under metagenome. RNAcentral's name for it is "SSU rRNA". It matches the Rfam family "Eukaryotic small subunit ribosomal RNA", at positions 558 to 1772 of the family's 1831-position model. The record is from RNAcentral.